GACAGAGGGUGCAAACGUUGCUCGGAAUCACUGGGCGUAAAGGGCGUGUAGGCGGGAAGGAUAAUCAGAUGUGAAAGCCCUGGGCUCAACCCAGGAACUGCAUUUGAAACUCCCUUUCUUGAGUGUCGGAGAGGAAAGCGGAAUUCCUGGUGUAGAGGUGAAAUUCGUAGAUAUCAGGAGGAACACCGGUGGCGAAGGCGGCUUUCUGGGCAACAACUGACGCUGAGGAGCGAAAGCGUGGGGAGCGAACAGG
RNAcentral lists this ribosomal RNA (253 nucleotides) under uncultured bacterium. RNAcentral describes it as "partial 16S ribosomal RNA". It matches the Rfam family "Bacterial small subunit ribosomal RNA", at positions 524 to 776 of the family's 1533-position model. The record is from RNAcentral.